This 3266-nucleotide long non-coding RNA is filed under the name Panax ginseng (ginseng). RNAcentral describes it as "long non-coding RNA (PGIN_LNC013439)". The record is from RNAcentral. Lineage: Eukaryota; Viridiplantae; Streptophyta; Magnoliopsida; Apiales; Araliaceae.
AAUCUUCAAAAAAACUAGGUAAGAAAAAAAUUAUGGUUUAUCUUUAAUACACUCAAUUGUCUUAUGGUUAAUUGUGUAGAUAGUUUUUCCUCUUUAGUCCCUCACACUGUAGAAUCAAAUUUGUCUGCAAGGUAGCAGCCCGAUCUUAUGCUAAAUGGGAAGGGGAUGGUAAGAUCUCCACAAGUGGAAUGAUAGCCGGGCUUGGCCAGAUCAGAUGGUGUAACAGAAUGAGCUGCUACUUCUGCUCUUGCUGCUAAAAGUAGUACUGCAAUCAAGGUGAGUAAUUGAAAAGGCAUCUCAGCCCAUAAUUUUUUUCUUUUCUAUUGAAACUUUUUGUGUGUGUGUGUUUGUCAAAUACCCUGAACUGGUACUCAAUAGGAGUUGGUUUCCUUUUGUAAAGCCUCUCAAGUCUUCUUUGUCAAUGAAGGAUAUAAGUAUACAUCAUAAGAUUAAAUGACGAGCUUAAUUAAGACCUAUUUGUUUCAUCUUAAAAUAAUGUCAGAAAAUGUGAUUUUCGUUGAAGUACUUUAGCGAUUUCAAAAUUAUUAGAGAUACAUAUCUGCUUUUAAAUUAUAAAACAAUAUGAAGUUUUGAAUAUGCUAUUAUACUUUUUUCUUAGUUGAUUGAGUAAUUAUAGAUGGAGUAAUAAUCAGGAAAUAAUAAGCUCAAAGCCUGAAAGCCUGAAUAAUAGGUUAAUAACAUUAUAUAUAUUAAAUCAAAUAAGUAAAUUUUCACCAGUAAAUCAAGUAAGUAAGACCUCUCAUGAAUAUUGGUGAAAUGCAUAAACUAUAGAUUUUGCAGUUAUAUGCUUCUUGAAACUCUAAUAUGUAUUUCCAAAAUAUUUGCCACUAAAGCUGCUCUUGUACAUUUGCAUUCAUGUAUCAGAUACAGACUUGCUUGGUUUGUGUGAUACAUGUACAUUCAGAUAUUUAUUCUUCUCGACAUCACAAUUUUGAAAUUCUUUUUUCCUUAUUUGAGACUAAAAAAACUUAUUUUUUGUUGGUAGUAUUUCAAGAUGGAUCCGGUAAAUUAUGAUGGCUAUGGGGGUGUUGAACAUGUACAGUACUAUUUUUAGGUACAUUCUAGUGAACUUCGUAUUUAUGGCUAGGGGUGGUUUCUAUUGCACUUUUUUUUAAUCAACUUUGCAUUCAUUCAAAGCUCUGUAAGGACCACUUACGAAGAAAAAAACAAACGAAAAAAAUAACAGAUGAUAGGUAUAAAAAACAUAAAUUACAUGCCCACUCUUUAAUAUUUUAAUUUGGCUCUAGUUCAUCAAAGGAUGAUUAGAUACGGUUACACAAUAUCCCAUUGAAUGCACAAUUAUUAUCAGAAUAAUAUACUACAUUCAAAAUUUGACAUUUAAUAUAUUUGGACUGAGGAAUGAGGAUCAUAAAGUGGCUAUUUCUAAACUAAAUUUGUUCAUCUCGAAAUCUAAUAUUUGUGCAUCUAUUUUACACGGAGUAUGAUAUAAAACUCUCCUGCCCAUCUAUAUUAAUCUCUGUGUGUGUGUGUCUAUCUUUAUUAUAUAUCUAACUACUGUCUAUGUUGUCUUACAACAACAAUGGAAGGGGAAACAAAAUAAGGUAAGACUCCCACUAAGAAAUACAGCAAGAAGUGUGGAUGACAAUGCACCAUCACCCAUACUAUUUAAAUGAGUCUAUGAUAUGGAUGACUAUGGACAUAAUUACUUAGUUCACAGAGAAUAGUUGUUGAAGUGUCCACUAUCGUAACUUGCCACAAAACUUGUUACGUUUCUUUUAAACAGAGUUAUAGAAGUAUUAUUUUGGUGAAAUCAUACCGUUUUAUAUCUUAUUGCCAAAAUUCCUAUCAUUAUAUAAAAAUAUGGAAAGCUCUUAUAUUUUGUUGAAGUAUAUAUUUAGUUGGUGGUAAGAUGUGAUUAAUACCCUUGUAUGCUUGUAUAUACUCCAUCAUUCACUAAUUUUGGGAAUUAUUUAUUCUUUUCCCCAACAAUUAAUGAUUCUCAUAAAACAUAGUUACUAAUAAUUCAUCACAUAACCAAGCUAGUUCUUCCAUGGUUACCAAUUGUUAAGCUCACUGUGAAAAUGUACCAUGUCACUAAGAAUAUUUUGAGUUACUUUAACCUAUUUCAGAGCAUUAUUAUGGUAUACAAUCACAAGUCCCGAUCCAUUUUUCAUUGUUAUGAAAUUACAAUGGCUAUAGCAUUGGCUAUAAAAACCUUUAAAACAUGACGAAAACUAUGGCUUCUACCUGCUUGAAGAAUGCUUGAAUUUGUUUGAAAAUGCCAUCUAUCUGUUUCUCUUUUAAGUUUCACUGUCAAUAUUCUUUUAUGUCUUUGCUGAUGCCAAGCCUCGUUUAAUAACAAGUGAAACAUAGCCAAAUGUUUGUUUUAAGAAACCAAUUUCAAGGUUAUGUAUAUUGUUCGUAUUAGUUUCGAGUUAGAAAUGUUUUUUAAUCAGCAAUUCUUGCAGUGCAAAUCUAGUGGUGACUUUAAUCUUUGUACACCAUUAAUGCUGAACAGGAUGUGUGUGAGUUCCAAUACAUAAAACUCAUUGAUCUAUGAUAAAGACUACUAAUACAAAUAAGGUGUUGUAACUUGGAAACUUUCUAUUAAUAUUCAACACAAGAACUUUAAUAUUUAAGAGAAUGUGGAAAUAAAAUAACAUAAGUCUAAAACUCAUUGAGUUCUUACUGACUAAAUAUUUUGGAAUUCCCUUUCAUAUUUGAGGUCAACAUAUAAUAAUAAUCUACAAGUCUUGUAACAAAAAAUAUGUUUACCACUAUGCUUACUGAAAUUAAUUCAUGAAAUGGCUUAUUAAGAUUUCAAUUUUGUCUUGUAACAGAGCAAUCUUAUAGUCGCACUGAAGGUUCUUUUUCUAUUUGGAUUUAUAGCAAAUGAUAUUGUGAUUGCCUAUUUGUCUUUUUCUGCUUAUGAGCAAUACGGUGUACAUUAGUACCACGUAGCAACUCUAUUGUCUUUGUGUAUUGAUUUUGGCACUAAGUGCCUCUGGUGACCUAUUUGCUUCAUUUUCCUGACUUGCUAUUAUUUUUAAAUAUGUGCAGGAAGACUGUUUUUACGACCUGCCUUACAAUACUGGGUAUCAAAUUUCCGUGCUACAUUUACGAAAGACAAGGGACGAAAUUAUGAAGUGUACUCUCUCUAUAUAUGUAGGUAUAUACUUUGAUUGAAAAACUGUGGCAGCUUUAGAUGGUUAAUUGUAAAGAUAAUGAAUGAUUAUGUAGUGGAUGCUUUUAUUAAGUUAAUAAUAUUUUAGUUUUUUUUUUAA